CAUGAGGUGGCCAUGUGGUUAUGGAGAUAGACUGCUAAUCCAUUGUGCUUUGCAUGUAUGGGUUUGAAUCCCAUCCUCAUCA
Molecule: non-coding RNA, 82 nt
Organism: Megalops atlanticus (tarpon)
Lineage: Eukaryota; Metazoa; Chordata; Actinopteri; Elopiformes; Megalopidae
Source: the annotation of a GenBank genome assembly